This 668-nucleotide ribosomal RNA is filed under the name Triticum aestivum (bread wheat). RNAcentral describes it as "partial small subunit ribosomal RNA". Lineage: Eukaryota; Viridiplantae; Streptophyta; Magnoliopsida; Poales; Poaceae. The record is from RNAcentral.
AUGGAGAAGAUAGUUGACAUAUAUUGUGAUGUGAGUGAGCAUCAGCAAAGUGAGGAGCAUGAGCACCGCAUCCAUGGUCUGGAGCUGGAGGCCUACGUGAGCGUCAUCAAGGCGUUCCACGCCAAGGGGCCGCUGACCUGGGCCAGGCAGGAGCUGCUGUCCGACCUCCGCCUGCACCUCCACGUCUCCGGCGACGACCACCUGCAGCUGCAGUCAAAGCUUGAUGUUGAUUUUGGGUCUCGGUCAAAUUUUGAUUCUGAACUUGGGUCUCACUCAUCAGUUCCAACUUCCAAACUUAUUGGCUGAUUGCUAGUUUGUCACCGGUGAUAGAUCAUUGUAGUUGGGCGUGUCUAACGAUCAUUAGACUGAAUUUGAUUUGGGUCUCAGUCAAAUUUUGAUUUUGAUUAUUGUAGGCCUGCUCUGGUUCCAAAUCCCAAACUUAGCUUUAAAUUCUGUCUGUUUGGGAUAAGCUAACGCCUGAAAACUGAAGUGAUCCACUCAAAAGCCACUGCUCUCUCUCUCUCUCUCCCCUUCUGCUCUGUUUAUUCGCACCAAAUCGGAAGGCAGCAAAAAACCGACAAAAUUGGAAUCCAAAAGCCCCCCAAAAAUGCAUUGACAACUGAAGAUUGUCAUCUGCAAAAUAGUGGAAACUGAGGAUUGUCAUCUGC